RNAcentral lists this ribosomal RNA (468 nucleotides) under uncultured bacterium. RNAcentral describes it as "partial 16S ribosomal RNA". It matches the Rfam family "Bacterial small subunit ribosomal RNA", at positions 28 to 507 of the family's 1533-position model. The record is from RNAcentral.
GACGAACGCUGGCGGCGUGCUUAACACAUGCAAGUCGAACGGAAAGGCGCUGCCUUUGUGGGGUGCUCGGGUGGCGAACGGGAGGGUAACAUGUGAGUAACCUGCCCUUGACUUUGGGAUAACUUAAGGAAACUGGGGCGAAUACCGGAUAGGAGCUCCUGCUGCUUGGUGGGGGUGGGAAAGUUGCGGCGGUUGGGGAGGCACUCGAGGCUCGUGAGCUCGUUGGUGGGGUAGGGGCUUACAAGGGCUUGGACGGGUGGCCGGCCUGAGUGGGUGUGCGGCAACAUUGGGACUGAGACACGGCGCAGACGUCGACGGGAGUGAGCAGUGGGCGAUAGUGUACAGUGGGCGGAAGGCGUAAGCAGCGACGCCGCUCGCGGUGUGAACGCCUUUGGGUUGUAAACCGCGCUCGCCUGGGACGAAGGGUGAUUGACGGUAAUGGGUAAAGAAGCACCGGCUAACUACGUG